GGAGAUCCUCAGAUACAAGAUCUUUGAGCCGAUCCUCCUUCUGGGAAACACCCGCUUCUCAACCUUGGACAUCCGCGUCCGUGUCAAGGGUGGUGGUACAGUAAGCAAGUUCUAUGCUAUCCGCCAAGCUAUCUCCAGAGCAAUCGUCGCCUACUACCAAAAGUACGUCGAUGAGGCCCAAAAGAAAGAGAUCAAGGACUUGUUGACCUCCUAUG
This 215-nucleotide unclassified non-coding RNA is filed under the name Hevea brasiliensis (rubber tree). Lineage: Eukaryota; Viridiplantae; Streptophyta; Magnoliopsida; Malpighiales; Euphorbiaceae. The record is from RNAcentral.